AAACUUUCAACAAUGGAUCUCUUGGUUCCGGCAUCGAUGAAGAACGCAGCGAAAUGCGAUACGUAAUGUGAAUUGCAGAAUUCAGUGAAUCAUCGAGUCUUUGAACGCACAUUGCGCCCCCUGGUAUUCCGGGGGGCAUGCCUGUCCGAGCGUCAUU
This 157-nucleotide ribosomal RNA is filed under the name Aspergillus biplanus. RNAcentral describes it as "5.8S ribosomal RNA". It matches the Rfam family "5.8S ribosomal RNA". Rfam says of the family: 5.8S ribosomal RNA (5.8S rRNA) is a component of the large subunit of the eukaryotic ribosome. RNAcentral also lists the same sequence under 1 other name. The record is from RNAcentral. Lineage: Eukaryota; Fungi; Ascomycota; Eurotiomycetes; Eurotiales; Aspergillaceae.